RNAcentral lists this unclassified non-coding RNA (305 nucleotides) under Basidiomycota sp. RNAcentral's name for it is "partial contains small subunit ribosomal RNA and internal transcribed spacer 1". The stretch from base 1 to 47 matches the Rfam family "Eukaryotic small subunit ribosomal RNA", at positions 1785 to 1831 of the family's 1831-position model. The record is from RNAcentral. Lineage: Eukaryota; Fungi; Basidiomycota.
AAAGUCGUAACAAGGUUUCCGUAGGUGAACCUGCGGAAGGAUCAUUAUUAGUGUGUUUCUCUACACUUUAUCCAUUGGACCAUACACCUGUGUUGUUGUGUUAUAUCCAGCGUGGUAUGUGUCGUGUGCGUCAUGUACGUCAUGUACGCGCGCACAGGAUGCUGCCCGCCUAAAACAUCCACUUCUCUCCCGCGCGCCGGGAGAACAAAACAUUUUUAUUCUUUCUAUGUGUGUGUGGUGUGUACCAUAUGUACCAUAUACAAACAGUAAUAAUACAACUGUUAGCAAUGGAUCACUUGGUUCUC